This 317-nucleotide long non-coding RNA is filed under the name Homo sapiens (human). Its description in RNAcentral is "non-protein coding lnc-LMBRD1-1:1". Lineage: Eukaryota; Metazoa; Chordata; Mammalia; Primates; Hominidae. The record is from RNAcentral.
CUUUGGUUUAGUGAAACUAUAAUGGCUUUAGACAGUGGCAAGGAAGUAACAGUGGGGAAACGUCCUGAAGGGGCUGUGUGACUAGGGGCUAUGUGACUAGGGGGCUGUGUGACUAGGGGCUGCGUAACUAGGGGGCUGUGUGACUGGGAAGCAGGGCUGCUGCAUUAGAGGUGAGACAGAUGGGAAGCCCGGGAGAAGAGUAGGGGCUGCUUCAGCAGUACAAACAUGUGAAACAUGGUAACCAGAUGUCUCCCUCAAAAUUACACUCAACCCUGGGAAAAAGGGAAACCCCAAAUCAACUGACAUUAAGUUUCUGC